AUCACCAAUAUAUCAAUUUACGUGCACAUUCAACACCCCUCACGGGGAUUACGGGAACAUCCUCAGCACGUCUAGAUAUUCCUUCACGCGAAAGCUUUGAGGUUAUAGUCUCAGGGGGGAGGACGUUCGCAAGAGUGAAACUUAAAGAAAUUGAGAGAAGGCACCACAAGACGUGGAGCGUGCGGUUUAAUUUGACUCAACACGGGGAACUUUACCAGAUCAGGAGAGGGUGAGGAUUGACACAUUSAGUGUUCUUUCUCGAUCCCUUCAAAGGUGGUGCAUGGCCGCUUUUGGUCGGUGGAGUGAUUUGUUUGGUUGAUUCCGUCAACGGASGAGAUCCGAGCUGCCCAGUAGAAACCAGGAUUGUCCAAAAGACAGC
Molecule: ribosomal RNA, 379 nt
Filed under: Parabodo caudatus
Lineage: Eukaryota; Euglenozoa; Kinetoplastea; Parabodonida; Parabodonidae
Description: SSU rRNA
Source: RNAcentral